GAUGAACGCUGGCGGCGUGCCUAAUACAUGCAAGUCGAGCGAACGGACGAGAAGCUUGCUUCUCUGAUGUUAGCGGCGGACGGGUGAGUAACACGUGGAUAACCUACCUAUAAGACUGGGAUAACUUCGGGAAACCGGAGCUAAUACCGGAUAAUAUUUUGAACCGCAUGGUUCAAAAGUGAAAGACGGUCUUGCUGUCACUUCUAGCUGGAUCCGCGCUGCAUUAGCUGGUUGGUAAGGUAACGGCUUACCAAGGCAACGAUGCAUAGCCGACCUGAGGGGGUGAUCGGCGACACGGGAGCUGAGACACGGUCAAGACUCCUACGGGAGGCAGCAGUAGCGAAUCUUCCGCAAUGGGCGAAAGCCUGACGGAGCGACGCCGCGUGAGUGAUGAAGGUCUUCGGAGCGUAAAACUCUGUUAUUAGGGAAGAACAUAUGUGUAAGUAACUGUGCACAUCUUGACGGUACCUAAUCAGAAAGCCACGGCUAACUACGUG
RNAcentral lists this ribosomal RNA (497 nucleotides) under uncultured bacterium. RNAcentral describes it as "partial 16S ribosomal RNA". It matches the Rfam family "Bacterial small subunit ribosomal RNA", at positions 28 to 507 of the family's 1533-position model. The record is from RNAcentral.